ACUCUCAUGAUCGUUCUUUCCACAUGAUCUCCUAUAUUUCUAGUAAAGAAUUAAUUUGACACCACAUUAUUCACACGAACAACUAGGGAAUCUUUCAUAGGAUAACUUUGGAAUUCUCUACGGCUUGUUUGGAUUCAAGCAUUUGAUUUCAAAUUCUGGAAUUGGAUCAAUGUUAAUGUUUGGAUUUCUAAAUAAUUGAGAAUUUAAAAUUGAUCCAAUUCCAAAUGUGUUUUAAACAUGCAGCGGGCCUUGUAUUUGAAAUGAUAUCCCGAUGGGUGUCAUUUGGAAAUUUUCACGACUCUCUCGAGUCGCGAUCUCCUGGCGAUCCCUUAACUCGGAUACCCCCCCUCUCAAUCUUCUCUAUCCUCAAUCUUUUUCUUCCUCAAUCGAUCAUCUGCAGAAACCCUAACCCUAGUCCAAUCUUUCUCCCUCAUUUGAUCCAGAGCCUUAAUCUCUCCUCCGAUGAGGUAGCAAUAGCAACCCUUGGCGACUGUCGAUGAUGGAGCCUCCGGCCUCGAACAGGAUCCUGAUCGGAGAAGAGUGAGGUUUAGUUUGGGGGAAGACUGGUUCAGUUCCAUGGCGAGAGUCGCAGGGGCAAGGGCUUGAGCGCUAUGAUGUAGAUCUCCUCCCGUGGGAAAAUAAAAACCCUAACAGGAUCCUGAUCGGACAACUAAAACUCUAUAAAUUCAUCAAUUGAAGCCAAGUCUUUUGGAAGAAUCAGAAUCAGCGAUUUAGAGCGCUCGAGGUGAUUCAAGAACUCGCAAAGUAAGACUUUCUGAACCAAUGGGAGAAAACUACAAAAGAAUACAAAGUGGAAGUGUAUAAGCACUAGAAAAAAAAACUCUCAUUUGAAUCAGAUGUAAAAGUCUUAAAGAAAUUAGCGCGAGAGCAACUUAAGCAUGACAUUAUGUAACAGCGAAAUAUUAACUUUUGUUGGUUUGUAUUUGUUGGAUAUUUUGGAUUUCUAGUUUGUUAAAUUGUUAUAUGUAAUAUUUGAAGUUUAUACUUUAUUUAUUGUUUUGGUUA
This is a long non-coding RNA of Asparagus officinalis (garden asparagus), 1026 nucleotides long. RefSeq lists it as uncharacterized. The transcript is spliced from 2 exons. The record is from RefSeq and is a predicted model, not a curated record. NCBI's taxonomy places the organism in Eukaryota, Viridiplantae, Streptophyta, Magnoliopsida, Asparagales, Asparagaceae.